AACGAACGCUGGCGGCAUGCCUAACACAUGCAAGUCGAACGAGACCUUCGGGUCUAGUGGCGCACGGGUGCGUAACGCGUGGGAACCUGCCCUUAGGUUCGGAAUAACUCCCCGAAAGGGGUGCUAAUACCGGAUAAUGUCUUCGGACCAAAGAUUUAUCGCCUUUGGAUGGGCCCGCGUUGGAUUAGCUAGUUGGUAGGAUAAAAGCCUACCAAGGCGACGAUCCAUAGCUGGUCUGAGAGGAUGAUCAGCCACACUGGGACUGAGACACGGCCCAGACUCCUACGGGAGGCAGCAGUGGGGAAUAUUGGACAAUGGGCGAAAGCCUGAUCCAGCAAUGCCGCGUGAGUGAUGAAGGCCUUAGGGUUGUAAAGCUCUUUUACCCGGGAUGAUAAUGACAGUACCGGGAGAAUAAGCUCCGGCUAACUCCG
This 431-nucleotide ribosomal RNA is filed under the name uncultured bacterium. RNAcentral describes it as "partial 16S ribosomal RNA". It matches the Rfam family "Bacterial small subunit ribosomal RNA", at positions 29 to 505 of the family's 1533-position model. The record is from RNAcentral.